RNAcentral lists this transfer RNA (82 nucleotides) under Spirochaetaceae bacterium. RNAcentral's name for it is "tRNA-Leu". It matches the Rfam family "tRNA". From Rfam's summary of the family: Transfer RNA (tRNA) molecules are approximately 80 nucleotides in length. Their secondary structure includes four short double-helical elements and three loops (D, anti-codon, and T loops). Lineage: Bacteria; Pseudomonadati; Spirochaetota; Spirochaetia; Spirochaetales; Spirochaetaceae. The record is from RNAcentral.
GCGAAAGUGGUGAAAUUGGCAGACACGCCAGACUUAGGAUCUGGUGCCUUACGGCUUGGGGGUUCGAGUCCCCUCUUUCGCA